GAUGAACGCUGGCGGCGUGCCUAAUACAUGCAAGUCGAGCGAACAGACGAGGAGCUUGCUCCUCUGACGUUAGCGGCGGACGGGUGAGUAACACGUGGAUAACCUACCUAUAAGACUGGGAUAACUUCGGGAAACCGGAGCUAAUACCGGAUAAUAUAUUGAACCGCAUGGUUCAAUAGUGAAAGACGGUUUUGCUGUCACUUAUAGAUGGAUCCGCGCCGCAUUAGCUAGUUGGUAAGGUAACGGCUUACCAAGGCAACGAUGCGUAGCCGACCUGAGAGGGUGAUCAGCCACACUGGAACUGAGACACGGUCCAGACUCCUACGGGAGGCAGCAGUAGGGAAUCUGCCGCAAUGGGCGAAAGCCUGACGGAGCAACGCCGCGUGAGUGAUGAAGGUCUUCGGAUCGUAAAACUCUGUUAUUAGGGAAGAACAAAUGUGUAAGUAACUAUGCACGUCUUGACGGUACCUAAUCAGAAAGCCACGGCUAACUACGUG
RNAcentral lists this ribosomal RNA (497 nucleotides) under uncultured bacterium. Its description in RNAcentral is "partial 16S ribosomal RNA". It matches the Rfam family "Bacterial small subunit ribosomal RNA", at positions 28 to 507 of the family's 1533-position model. The record is from RNAcentral.